GGGCGGGUAGCGAAGUGGUAAAGCGUUCUCUAAGCGUAAUCAGCGUUGAGUUUCUUCUAGCGUUUAGCGAAAGAUCCAGGUUCAAGCCCUGGCUCGUCCA
Non-coding RNA from Cercophora newfieldiana, 100 nucleotides. The record is from the annotation of a GenBank genome assembly. Lineage: Eukaryota; Fungi; Ascomycota; Sordariomycetes; Sordariales; Lasiosphaeriaceae.